Molecule: RNA transcript, 10471 nt
Organism: Arvicola amphibius (Eurasian water vole)
Lineage: Eukaryota; Metazoa; Chordata; Mammalia; Rodentia; Cricetidae
Gene: Dop1a
Gene name: DOP1 leucine zipper like protein A
Exons: 42
Source: RefSeq, a predicted model, not a curated record
CGGCGUGGGCGCGCGCGGUGCACGCUGGUAGCUGUCACCAGGCCCUCGGCUGGCGGCCUUCGUGCGGCUGCCGCGGUUGCCAGGAGAGCGGCGCCGGCGGGGAGCGGCAGAGCCCGCGGCAGGAUAGAGGAGCUUGGCUGUGAAGUAAUGUCCCACCUCCACCCAUUCUGAUAUUGGAGUUUGCUUGUUGGCCAGAGCUGCAAACAUCUGAAGGUGACCCAUGGGUUGAGAACCACUACUCUACAGGGUUGCCUGAUUAUCCUAUGACAAAGAUAGUAACUCCAGAAUGAGUGAUCCAAGAAACAUCAAGGGAAUGAUUUUGCAUGACUUUGGAACUGGUCUCUAGCAGGACACGGUGGGAGGAUGAACACAGAAGAGCUGGAGUUACUGAGUGACUCCAAAUACAGAAACUAUGUAGCUGCAAUUGACAAAGCACUAAAGAAUUUUGAAUACUCCAGUGAAUGGGCAGAUUUGAUAUCAGCGCUUGGAAAACUCAACAAGGUUUUACAAAAUAAUGCCAAGUACCAGGUAGUACCAAAAAAACUGACCAUAGGUAAACGCCUAGCUCAAUGUCUGCACCCAGCAUUACCAGGUGGAGUUCAUCGGAAGGCACUUGAAACAUACGAAAUCAUCUUCAAAAUCAUCGGACCUAAGCGACUUGCCAAAGAUCUUUUUUUAUAUAGUUCUGGGUUGUUUCCUCUACUUGCCAAUGCUGCUAUGUCUGUGAAACCAGCACUGCUCAGUUUGUAUGAGAUAUAUUACCUGCCUUUGGGAAAAACUCUGAAACCUGGUCUCCAGGGAUUGCUGACUGGUAUUCUUCCUGGCUUAGAAGAAGGAUCAGAGUAUUAUGAGAGAACAAACACACUGCUGGAAAAGGUUGCUGCUGCAGUAGAACAGUCGGCAUUCUACAGUGCACUAUGGGGCAGUCUGCUCACCAGUCCCGCUGUGCGCUUACCCGGAAUCACAUACGUUCUGGCCCAUCUGAACAGGAAGCUUUCCAUGGAAGAUCAGCUGUAUAUAAUUGGCAGUGACAUCGAGCUCAUGGUAGAAGCAGUAAGUACUUCAGUGCAGGACUCAAGUGUACUUGUACAGAGAAGCACACUGGACCUCAUCCUCUUCUGUUUUCCAUUCCAUAUGAGUCAGGCCACUCGACCAGAUAUGAUCAGGAUUUUGUCAGCAGCCCUUCACGUAGUACUAAGGAGGGAUAUGUCCCUGAACCGAAGACUUUAUGCAUGGCUUCUUGGUUUUGAUAACAACGGUGCUAUCAUAGGACCCAGGAGCACAAGACACAGUAAUCCUGAAGAACAUGCCACUUACUAUUUUACAACCUUUUCAAAGGAAUUAUUAGUCCAGGCCAUGGUAGGAAUCUUACAAGUGAAUGGAUUUGGAGAAGAAAGCACUCUCAUGCAAGAUCUAAAACCUUUUCGGAUUUUAAUCAGCUUAUUGGACAAACCUGAGCUAGGACCUGUAAUUCUAGAAGAUGUUCUAAUUGAAGUGUUUAGAACAUUGUAUUCUCAAUGUAAAGCAGAAUUGGAUCUUCAGAUGGAACCACCCUUCAGCAAGGACCAUGCUCAGUUAAGCAGUAAAUUAAGGGAAAACAAGAAAACAGCUGAGCUGAUUAAAACUGCGAAUCUUCUUUUUAAUUCCUUUGAACCUUAUUAUAUGUGGGAUUACAUUGCACGCUGGUUUGAAGAAUGUUGUCGGAGAACACUGCAUGCCAGACUUCAGGUUGGGCCUGGAGACAGUAGUGACUCAUCUGAGUUACAGCUGACCAAUUUCUGCUUACUGGUGGACUUUUUGUUGGAUAUUGUCUCUUUGGAAACUUAUAUUGAAAUCCAGACAGAACACUUGCCCCAGUUACUGCUCAGGAUGAUUUCUGCCUUGACAAGCCAUCUCCAGACAUUACGCUUGUCUGAGCUCACAGAUUCUUUGAAGCUCUGCUCAAAGAUCCUUAGCAAAGUCCAGCCCCCACUGUUAUCUGCUGGCACUGGGGGUGUGGUACAGUUUCCAAGUGGGCAGAGCAGCACAGUCAAAGAAUGGGAAGACAAAAAGGUAUCAUCAGUUUCUGUGGAAAAUCCUACUGAAGUAUUUGAAGAUGGAGAAAACCCACCAAGUAGUCGAUCAUCAGAAAGUGGCUUCACUGAGUUUAUACAGUAUCAAGCAGACCGAACUGAUGAUCUUGAUAGAGAGCUGAACGGACAGGGUACAGCUACCAUCCCAAUUGGCAGCACGUCUUCAGAGACAGAAACAGCAUCCACAGUGGGAUCUGAAGAAACUGUUAUCCAGCCACCUUCCACCUUCACUCAGGGUACAGCAGCUCGAAGUGGGAAGGCAGCACAAAAGACUGCGAUGCAGUGCUGCUUGGAGUAUGUCCAGCAGUUUCUUUCCAGACUCAUUAACCUCUACAUCGUUCACAGUGACUCCCUUUCUCAGCCUUUGGCUGCUGACCAUCAGGGAGAUGUCCAUCGAUUUCAAAGAGACACUUCAAAAUGGGACAGGGAUUCCCAAGGGGAUGCAAAAGAAAGAAGUAUACAUACACCAAAAACUUCAAAAGAAUACCUUUCUGCCUUCCUUGCUGCCUGUCAGCUCUUCUUAGAGUGCUCAAGUUUCCCAGUCUAUAUUGCAGAGGGAAACCAUACCUCAGAGUUACAUUCUGAGAAACUUGACACUGACUGUGAACAUGCACAUCCUCCACAGUGGCUCCAGACUCUGAUGAGCGCUUGCAGCCAAGCAAGUGAUUUCAGUGUUCAGAGUGUUGCUGUGUCUCUGGUCAUGGACCUAGUGGGACUGACUCAGUCUGUUGCCAUGGUCACUGGGGAAAGUAUCAACAGCAUGGAACCUGCUCAACCCUUAAGUCCAAACCAAGGAAGAGUAGCUGUAGUUAUUAGACCUCCCCUAACACAGGGCAAUCUGAGGUAUAUAGCUGAGAAGACUGAAUUUUUCAAGCAUGUAGCCUUGACAUUAUGGGACCAGAUGGGAGACGGGACACCUCAGCACCAUCAGAAGAGUGUGGAAUUAUUUUAUCAAUUACAUAAUUUGGUUCCUUCUUCUAGCAUCUGUGAGGACGUUAUAAGUCAGCAGUUAACCCACAAAGAUAAGAAAAUAAGGAUGGAAGCACAUGCGAAGUUUGCAGUUCUUUGGCAUCUAACAAGGGAUCUCCAUGUAAAUAAGUCAUCUUUUGCACGUUCCUUUGACAGGUCACUGUUCAUCAUGUUAGAUAGCCUUAAUAGUCUUGAUGGUUCUACUAGCUCUGUGGGACAAGCCUGGCUGAACCAGGUGCUACAAAGGCAUGACAUAGCCAGAGUACUGGAACCGUUAUUACUGCUUCUACUUCAUCCAAAAACUCAGAGGGUUUCAGUGCAGCGUGUACAAGCAGAACGUUACUGGAGUAAGACUUCCUGUUAUCCAGGAGAGGAAAAUGACAAACUUUUCAUGCAAAAUUUUACCUGCAACAAUGUAAGCCAAGUGCACCUCAUUGCAUCGAAAGGAAAUGGUGAAAAGCAUCUUACUAUGGAUGAAAUAGAGAAUUUCAGCCUCACUGUUAAUCCAUUGAGUGAUAGACUUUCCCUCCUAAGCACCAGCAGUGAGACGAUUCCAAUGGUUGUAUCUGACUUUGACCUCCCAGAUCAGCAAAUGGAAAUACUUCAGAGCUCUGACUCCGGGUGUUCUCAGUCUUCUGCCGGAGACAACUUCAGUUAUGAAGUUGAUCCUGAAAAUGUAAAUGCUCAUGAGGAUUCUCUCAUGGCAAAGGCAAGCUCCCCAGAUGAUGACGUUCAGCAAGUCGUCUUUGACCUGAUAUGUAAAGUUGUAAGUGGCCUAGAAGCAGAAUCCGCAUCAGUUACAUCUGAGUUAGAAAUAGAAUCCCUGCCACUAAAGAGCGGUGAUUUAGAUGCAGGUAUAAAGACCACGAAAAGUGACGAUCAGGCCCCUCAACACAGUCAGCAUGCUUUGCUGAGUGAGGACAGCCCUCAGUUUCUGUCUGUGUCUGCAGAGGAAGGCUGUGAGUGCUUGGCCAACGGGAUCUCCAGAAAUAGCUCCUCUCCUUGCAUUUCAGGAACAGCACAGACUCUCAACGAUUCUUCUGUUUCCACAGAAACCAAAUCUAGACAAAGGAGUCACAGUAGUAUUCAGUUUAGCUUCAAAGAAAAGUUAGCAGAAAAGAUCUCAGAGAAAGAAACAAUUGUUAAGGAAUCAGGUAAACAACCAGGCGCAAAACCCAAAGUAAAGCUUGCCAGAAAAAAGGAUGAGGACAAGAAAAAAGCUGCAAAUGAGAAACUGAAACAAACAAGUGUGUUCUUCAGUGACGGCCUGGACUUAGAGAACUGGUAUAGCUGUGGUGAGGGCGAAAUUUCUGAAAUCGAGAGUGACAUGGGCUCUCCAGGAUCACGGAAAUCUCCCAAUUUCAACAUCCAUCCUCUCUACCAACAUGUGCUCCUGUAUCUGCAGUUGUAUGAUUCAUCAAGGACUCUGUAUGCCUUUUCUGCCAUCAAAUCCAUCUUGAAAACUAACCCCAUUGCUUUUGUAAAUGCCAUUUCAACCACAAGUGUAAAUAAUGCAUAUACUCCUCAACUGUCACUGCUUCAGAAUCUAUUGGCCAGACAUCGAAUCUCUGUUAUGGGCAAAGACUUCUAUAGUCACAUUCCAGUGGACUCAAAUCAUAACUUCCGGAGUUCCAUGUACAUCGAAAUUCUUAUUUCUCUCUGCUUAUAUUACAUGCGUAGCCAUUACCCAACUCAUGUCAAGGUCACUACCCAAGACUUGAUAGGCAAUCGAAACAUGCAAAUGAUGAGCAUAGAAAUCUUGACUCUCCUCUUUACAGAGCUAGCAAAAGUAAUAGAAAGCUCUGCAAAGGGUUUCCCUAGUUUUAUCUCUGAUAUGCUAUCUAAGUGCAAAGUUCAGAAAGUGAUUCUUCAUUGUUUGCUGUCCUCUAUCUUCAGUGUACAAAAAUGGCACAGUGAAAAAAUCGCAGGUAAGAACAUGGUUGCUGUGGAAGAAGGCUUCUCAGAAGACAGCCUUAUCAAUUUCUCAGAGGAUGAAUUUGACAAUGGCAGCACACUCCAGUCACAGCUUCUUAGGGUGCUUCAGAGGCUGAUUGUUUUAGAGCACCGGGUGAUGACGAUUCCUGAAGAGAAUGAAGCAGGUUUUGAUUUCGUUGUGUCUGAUCUGGAACACAUCAGUCCCCAUCAGCCCAUGACUUCUCUUCAGUAUUUGCACGCUCAGCCCAUCACUUGUCAAGGCAUGUUCCUCUGUGCAGUGAUCAGAGCUUUGCAUCAGCACUGUGCGUGUAAGAUGCAUCCACAGUGGAUUGGCUUAAUCACAUCUACUCUGCCUUACAUGGGAAAAGUUCUACAGAGAGUUGUGGUUUCUGUGACACUACAGCUGUGCAGGAAUUUGGACAAUCUAAUUCAGCAGUACAAAUAUGAAACAGGAUUCUCUGAUAGUAGGCCUUUGUGGAUAGCAUCAGUUAUUCCACCAGAUAUGAUUCUUACUCUUUUGGAAGGGAUCACAGCCAUUAUCCAUUACUGCUUGUUGGAUCCGACUACCCAGUAUCAUCAACUCUUGGUCAAUGUAGACCAGAAACACUUGUUUGAAGCUCGCAGUGGAAUCCUCUCAAUCCUUCACAUGAUCAUGUCCUCUGUGACUCUGCUCUGGAGCAUACUGCACCAGGCAGAUGCUGCAGAAAAGAUGACGGUCGCUGCAUCUGCAUCUGUUACCACAAUCAAUCUGGGAGCCACAAAGAAUUUAAGACAACAAAUUCUGGAAUUAUUGGGACCCAUUUCAAUGAAUCAUGGUGUUCAUUUCAUGGCUGCCAUCGCAUUUGUAUGGAACGAAAGAAGACAGAACAAAACCCCUUCCCGAACCAAGGUGAUUCCUGCAGCCAGUGAAGAACAGCUUUUACUAGUAGAACUAGUUCGCUCCAUCAGCGUCAUGAGAGCAGAAACUGUUAUCCAGACUGUGAAAGAAGUUUUAAAGCAGCCUCCAGCCAUAGCCAAGGACAAGAAACAUCUUUCUCUGGAAGUCUGCAUGCUUCAGUUUUUCUAUGCUUAUAUACAAAGAAUUCCAGUGCCCAAUUUAGUGGACAGUUGGACAUCACUAUUGGUUCUUCUAAAAGAUUCUAUACAGCUGAGUCUUCCAGCCCCAGGGCAGUUUCUUAUACUUGGGGUUCUGAAUGAGUUUAUUAUGAAAAAUCCUAGUUUGGAAAAUAAAAAAGACCAAAGAGACCUUCAGGACGUGACUCACAAAAUUGUGGAUGCUAUUGGUGCAAUUGCUGGUUCCUCUCUAGAGCAGACAACGUGGCUCCGACGAAACCUAGAAGUCAAGGCUUCUCCUAAAAUAAUGGUGGAUGGUACCAAUUUGGAGUCUGAUGUUGAAGAUAUGCUAUCACCUGCAAUGGAAACCUCAAACAUAACUCCCUCUGUAUAUAGUGUCCAUGCACUGACAUUGCUUUCCGAGGUAUUGGCUCAUCUUCUAGAUAUGGUCUUCUACAGUGAUGAAAAAGAGCGUGUUAUCCCUUUACUUGUAAACAUUAUGCAUUAUGUUGUACCCUACCUCCGAAAUCACAGUGCACAUAAUGCCCCUAGUUACCGAGCCUGUGUCCAACUGCUCAGCAGUCUUAGUGGGUAUCAGUAUACACGGAGAGCAUGGAAAAAAGAAGCCUUUGACCUUUUCAUGGAUCCCAGUUUCUUUCAGAUGGAUGCGUCCUGUGUUAAUCAUUGGAGAGCAAUUAUGGACAACCUGAUGACACAUGAUAAGACAACAUUCAGAGAUUUGAUGACUCGAGUAGCUGUGGCCCAAAGCAGUUCUCUCAAUCUUUUUGCAAAUCGAGAUGUGGAGCUAGAACAGAGAGCCAUGCUUCUUAAAAGAUUGGCCUUUGCUAUUUUUAGCAGUGAAAUUGACCAGUACCAGAAGUACCUUCCAGACAUACAAGAGAGAUUGGUUGAGAGUCUCCGUCUGCCCCAGGUGCCAACUCUUCACUCUCAAGUGUUCCUGUUCUUCAGAGUAUUACUUUUAAGAAUGUCUCCACAACACCUUACCUCUCUCUGGCCUACCAUGAUCACGGAACUUGUGCAAGUAUUCCUACUGAUGGAGCAAGAGCUCACUGCUGAUGAAGAUAUUUCACGGACAUCAGGGCCGUCUGCGGCUGGUCUGGAGACAACCUAUACUGGAGGUAAUGGCUUCUCCACCUCCUAUAACAGCCAGAGGUGGUUAAACCUCUAUCUCUCUGCUUGCAAGUUUUUGGAUUUGGCUCUGGCAUUGCCCUCUGAAAAUCUUCCUCAGUUUCAGAUGUACCGAUGGGCCUUUAUACCCGAAGCUUCAGAUGAUUCAGGCUUGGAGGUCAGACGGCAGGGCAUACAUCAGCGAGAAUUUAAGCCAUACGUGGUUCGACUAGCAAAACUUCUUCGGAAAAGGGCAAAGGACGAGGAGGACUUUAAGAUUUUGGAGGGAAUGGAGAUGGCCAAGCAUCAGAAGAAUCCAGAGGAAGACAGCUCAGGGAGGACACUGGGCUGGGAGCCGGGGCACUUGUUACUCACCCUCUGCACCAUGCGCAGCAUGGAGCAGCUUCUGCCCUUCUUCAAUGUCCUCAGCCAAGUUUUCAACAGCAAAGUCACAAGCCGGUGCGGAGGACACUCAGGGAGCCCUGUCCUCUACUCAAACUCCUUCCCCAACAAGGACAUGAAACUGGAGAACCACAAAGCAUUUUCCAGCAAAGCCAGGCAAAAAAUUGAAGAGAUGAUAGAAAAGGAUUUUCUGGAAGGAGUCAUAAAAUCUUGACCACCACCGUGGUUCCCCAGAGACGCAAUGGAAAUCUUACUUGUGAGUCUGCUUCUGCAUAUACUCGGACAAUGUCUUCUGUACCAGAGGGCCGGACAAAAGCUCGGGCAAGCUUGUACUUCUUCACCAGGUCGUUGAUUGCUUCUUGGAGUCCUGGCGGGGUGACUGCCUGUCUUUCAGCAUCAGUGGUGCUGAUCACUCUCCUGUCGGCAACCUGAGCACAAACAUGUCCUAUCUGUUACAGAAGCUUAACCUGUUCAAAACAGUCCAGCACACAGAGUAAGAGGCGGCCAUUUCAAGUUACUAUCCUGCAUGGUGGUGUACAUCCGGACCGAAAUGUAUCCCACUCGGGAAACACUUGGCGUGGGAAGACUGGAAGAACGCUAUAGUCUGAAAGAUUGUUUCCCGCUCUCUUCACCUUAACUUUGAGUUGUCUGUUAGGAAGAUCAACAUAAAUAGCAUCCCACUGCUGCACAGUCAGGCCCUUGAGAGCCAGGAUCGCCUCAAUCACCAGCAUGUCGGAAAUGGCAUCUCCAGCUGCCUGCAAGAUUGGGGAAACAAAGCACAUAAGCCACCAUUACAUAAUCCCACACAGAUGCUGUCUGUGCAUCGGCAACCAGAGUGAUGAAUGCCAUGGACCAAGGAGAUGCACGUAACCAUGACAGACAACAAUGACAUGGAUCCAGAGCUGAUUACACCAGCUCCUGAGAAACAUCUAGACUGAAUAAAGGUUUGGCCCUGACAUGUUAUGACUCAAAUUCUUUAAAUAGAUCUCCUUUUAGAUAGUGUGACGGUGGUAUUAAUAGAGAAAAUAAGCUUUGGUUCUUCAUACACUUAAAGUCAGAACCAACUCUAAGCUUCAUUUCAUAAAAUGGAAAUUAUAACCUUGCUUCCUGCAUUACUGCUGUGAUUAGAAGGAAAAGUGGAUAAAAUGUCUGACCCGUAUCAGACAUUCGGACUCCACGUCUCUCCUGGCUUCACUGUCGCUUUUCCACAGCAGUACGGCAGUUUCAGCUGCCGGACCCAAGCACGUAAAUGGUACAGAAUUUUCCCAAGGUUUCUUUGAAAAGUUAGCCAAACACACAAAACACAUACUCAGUAGCUACUAAGUAUACUUAAACAUUUCAACAUUUUCCUGACAAAAUAUCAAGAAAAGGAAGCAUAUAAAAAAUUGUUAUUUCUGGUGCAAGUCUCAGCUGUGGGCACCACUGUUAGAAGCAAACCACCCAGCCAGCCAGGACUUCACCUUUUAUAAUUCUACAUCCCAGGUUUUGACUGAUGUUAAGGUAUCUCAGAGCCUUUCACCACACCACAUCUAACCUGGUUGAACAAGUCGAUGAUGCUUGCAAGCAUCUUUGCAGCUUUUCCUUUCUCGUCUUCUAAUUCUUGUGCUAGUCUUUUUAUCUUCGUUUCAACUGCUUCGCUAAACAGUGCCUGCAGCAGAAGUACAUGAAGUCAGUCACAAACUCCAGGUCACUUUCCAUUCCCAGGGAAUCUGUAAAAACUGAAUAGACAAAUAACAGCAGCCUAAUGUCUGCCAUUAAUGCUGAAAUCAAAUCAGAGCACAAAGGGUAUUAUUACUAAAGAAAAAGUUUAUGGAUUAUAAAACUAAUUUAAAAGAUACCAUUUUGACAAAAACGGAAUACAUAUGAGCUCACUGUGUUCUCCAGCUCACUUCCCGAACUCUAUGCAGCUGGUACCAUUACAAGACAUGUGAGAGGCCACAUCAGCAUGAGUUCACUGCACUCAACAGUACAGCAGCUAGUAUCAUAUACUACCACAGACAUUCCUUUGUUUUGAAAUGCCACGCCCAUCCUUUAUAAUCCUCAAGAGGCCAGUACUUACAUGAGUACAUAGUGCUCAAUCACUAGAGGAAAUGGGCCCUUUUUGGUAAAAUAACAUGCAGGUGGUCACCUGGUUUUCCUAAAUAAAUUCUGACUGAACAGACUUACCCAUUUUUUCUGUGAGUCGAGUUGAACAGAUUCAGAGACCUUAUGGACUUCACCUUUAUUAGGUCACUGAAAUUACAUUUCAGCCACAUUUUAUAGAAACACAUUCUCCUCCUUAUAUUCAUGGCUCUUCAAAAAUUGAAAUUUUUGUUAACAUGACUAGGUAGUAGUAAAUUACACUAUUUCACAAAUUGAAAUUAGUGAAGAGAAUGAUUUAAACUACAUUCAAACAUUCUCAUGUCUACCUCAAAUCCAUUCAUGAAAUAAGAUGAUAUACAAAGACAUUUUUAAAUCUGAACAUAAAAAUACCCUUUAAAAUAGUGACAUUUAUAUUGAAUUAUAUAUGGCUUUUUUUUUUCAGAAUAGUCCUAAGAAAGCCCUGAAAACAAAACACCAAACAUAAAACACCUAUGUUUGUAUAUGCUUUAAACCCAAUAAAACUUUUCAUCAUAGUUACUCUGUAAGAAGUGGGAAUAUUUUAAGAACAUGAACAGAACAUUUUAAAAUAAUUUAUUGGGUUUUAUGGGGUGUGUGUAUGUGUGCACACGCACGUGCAUGCCUGCAUGCACCUGUCUCUGACUCUGCAGCACCGAUCCAACUCAAGACUUCAUGCAUGGUUACAGAACUAAGCUCACCCCAGCUCUUUAAAGAAAAAAUUGGUGAUAUGCAAGAUAUUCAUGAGUAUGACAAUAGGAUCUGGACAUUUCUGGCACCCUCUCCUCAGCUGCCCUAGGAACUAGCUGGGGUCG